This 309-nucleotide long non-coding RNA is filed under the name Malus domestica (apple). RNAcentral's name for it is "long non-coding RNA (MDOM_LNC016314)". The record is from RNAcentral. Lineage: Eukaryota; Viridiplantae; Streptophyta; Magnoliopsida; Rosales; Rosaceae.
CCACAAAGGCACAUGUUAUAUCUAACACGGUUUCUCGGGCAUAUGCAUAUUCACAACUAAAACUUGACAUCCAUUCGACAUCUGCCAUGCUGAAGAUGGCAGUGGCACGCCUGAGCACUAAAAUGUUAACCUUGAUUGUGAGCCUCAAGGCCUACACCUAAGGCCCCACAAAGGCACCUCUCAAAGUUAACGAUGUCCUUCUCUUUCAGCCUUGCCCGAAGAGUCUUGCCCGACGAGACUUGCCCGACAAAGCCCGACAGGAAAGCAGAAGCCCGACAGCAGCCCUCAACCGGCGCCGAACCUCCAGGG